UCAAAUAAACGUAGUCGCCAACAUAAUA
This 28-nucleotide small RNA is filed under the name Bombyx mori (domestic silkworm). Its description in RNAcentral is "ovarian small RNA-24466". The record is from RNAcentral. Lineage: Eukaryota; Metazoa; Arthropoda; Insecta; Lepidoptera; Bombycidae.